This 460-nucleotide ribosomal RNA is filed under the name uncultured ammonia-oxidizing beta proteobacterium. RNAcentral describes it as "bacterial SSU rRNA". It matches the Rfam family "Bacterial small subunit ribosomal RNA", at positions 202 to 645 of the family's 1533-position model. The record is from RNAcentral. Lineage: Bacteria; Pseudomonadati; Pseudomonadota; Betaproteobacteria.
AAGUAGGGGAUCGUAAGACCUUGCGCUUUUGGAGCGGCCGAUGUCUGAUUAGCUAGUUGGUGGGGUAAUGGCCUACCAAGGCUACGAUCAGUAGCUGGUCUGAGAGGACGGCCAGCCACACUGGGACUGAGACACGGCCCAGACUCCUACGGGAGGCAGCAGUGGGGAAUUUUGGACAAUGGGCGCAAGCCUGAUCCAGCCAUGCCGCGUGAGUGAAGAAGGCCUUCGGGUUGUAAAGCUCUUUCAGCCGGGAAGAAAAGGUUGCGACUAAUAAUCGCAAUUCAUGACGGUACCGAAAGAAGAAGCACCGGCUAACUACGUGCCAGCAGCCGCGGUAAUACGUAGGGUGCGAGCGUUAAUCGGAAUUACUGGGCGUAAAGGGUGCGCAGGCGGUUUUGUAAGUCAGAUGUGAAAUCCCCGGGCUUAACCUGGGAACUGCGUUUGAAACUACAAGGCUUAG